CAAACAUUGUGUUUCCAUCAUUCACCAGAUUUAAAGCAAUGUUCUUGUACAAGAUCAUAGUUCCCUAAAAUACUAGAAGCCGAUUUUUAGGGGUUAUGGAAGUCCUAUGAUUUGAAGCGAUUAGACAUUUUUUCAUGAAACAGAGGCAAAUUUGGUAAGGGAAGCAUUUGAGGUUUUUAAUCCCUUACAUAUUCAGGAAUAUCCACGUUCAGAGAAAAUGCAAGAUUG
Molecule: long non-coding RNA, 228 nt
Organism: Arabidopsis thaliana (thale cress)
Lineage: Eukaryota; Viridiplantae; Streptophyta; Magnoliopsida; Brassicales; Brassicaceae
Product: other RNA
Exons: 1
Source: RefSeq